AUGGUGGUUUGAUCAACGGUGUGGACUUGGUAGGAUAGAAUGCGUGCGUACGCGCUUGCAGAGGAUCGGGAUGGGUACGUACUGGCUGCCUGGCUGGACUUCUGUGGCAGCAAGGCCGCGGCGAGCUACAUGUGUUGGUGAUGACGUGCAUGCCUUUGUUGGGACACGUGGCCGAAGGACGACAAGUGUAUAGAAUACUUUUCUUGGGGCUGAGGCGCCUCCGGGCUCCGUACCAGCUCGAUGGGGUCCAUCCUUUGUUAGUGGUUGUGGUCC
This 273-nucleotide long non-coding RNA is filed under the name Elaeis guineensis (African oil palm). Its description in RNAcentral is "long non-coding RNA (EGUI_LNC027035)". The record is from RNAcentral. Lineage: Eukaryota; Viridiplantae; Streptophyta; Magnoliopsida; Arecales; Arecaceae.